Frieseomelitta varia is the source of this 349-nucleotide long non-coding RNA. RefSeq lists it as uncharacterized. The transcript is spliced from 2 exons. The record is from RefSeq and is a predicted model, not a curated record. NCBI's taxonomy places the organism in Eukaryota, Metazoa, Arthropoda, Insecta, Hymenoptera, Apidae.
CAUUACUUUUUCAAGAAAUAUUGUUGCUUUUACGUAUUUACGCAUUGUAAUGGUAUAUUAAGGAUAUAUUAGGAAUAGUAUAUAUUAAGAAUAGUAUGGUUUGAAUCAACUGUACUGAUUAACGUAGUUCAAUUGAGCACCUCUAUACGGAAGUGACAGGAGUUGCGAUUGGUAGGGUAGCGUUAUUUUAUUACGUGUCAUGUACGCAAAUCUGCAUUUCUCGAUUGCUUGAGAAUCUUGAAACGGGCUUUCGAAGUUCUUUAAUAUUUGAUUAUCUUAAUUAUUAAAGCAAGAAGAUGCGUCAAUUGAAGGGCAAGACAAAAGAAACGAAUAAACAGAAGAAAGAGAG